This 73-nucleotide transfer RNA is filed under the name Stegodyphus mimosarum. It matches the Rfam family "tRNA". From Rfam's summary of the family: Transfer RNA (tRNA) molecules are approximately 80 nucleotides in length. The record is from Rfam by way of RNAcentral. Lineage: Eukaryota; Metazoa; Arthropoda; Arachnida; Araneae; Eresidae.
GCCUUCGCGGUGCAAUGGUCAGUACACUCGACGCGUAUUCGAGAGGUCCAGAGUUCGAGUCCCGGCGUUGGCA